RNAcentral lists this unclassified non-coding RNA (500 nucleotides) under Hevea brasiliensis (rubber tree). Lineage: Eukaryota; Viridiplantae; Streptophyta; Magnoliopsida; Malpighiales; Euphorbiaceae. The record is from RNAcentral.
AAUCAACUAGUAAUAAUGCAGUUCUUGGUCAUCAGAUGAACCACAAUAAUGUUCAAUCGUCGGUGAGUGCAAAAAUGGGGCUUGAACAUGAAAAAACUAUAGGUUUGAUGGAUGCACAAGGUUGUAUGGCUUAUGGGAAGGAUAAAGCAGUUGGGCCGAGUAAUGUUGUGUAUAAUACUAGUAAUAAUCCUAAUAGCAAUACGAGUGACGAGGAUGAGCCUAGCUUUAAUGAGGAUGGAAAUGGUGAGAACAACGGUGGGGCACCGGGGAAGAAGGGAUCUCCAUGGCAGAGAAUGAAAUGGACUGAUAAUGUUGUUAGGCUUCUUAUACAAGUAGUUGCUUGUGUUGGAGAUGAUGGUAGUUUGGAAGGUCCUGGAGUGGGGUUGAAGAGAAAAUCUGCUUGCCUUCAGAAAAAGGGUAAAUGGAAAACAGUAUCCCGAAUAAUGAUGAGUAACGGUUGUCAUGUCUCACCUCAGCAGUGUGAGGAUAAGUUUAAUGAU